This 540-nucleotide ribosomal RNA is filed under the name Fusarium proliferatum. RNAcentral describes it as "eukaryotic LSU rRNA". The stretch from base 163 to 316 matches the Rfam family "5.8S ribosomal RNA". Lineage: Eukaryota; Fungi; Ascomycota; Sordariomycetes; Hypocreales; Nectriaceae. The record is from RNAcentral.
GGGGAAGCAAUCGAGUGCAGCUCGAUCACUCCAACCCUGUGACAUACCAAUUGUUGCCUCGAGCGGAUCAGCCCGCUCCCGGUAAAACGGGACGGCCCGCACAGAGGACCCCUAAACUCUGUUUCUAUAUGUAACUUCUGAGUAAAACCAUAAAUAAAUCAAAACUUUCAACAACGGAUCUCUUGGUUCUGGCAUCGAUGAAGAACGCAGCAAAAUGCGAUAAGUAAUGUGAAUUGCAAAAUUCAGUGAAUCAUCAAAUCUUUGAACGCACAUUGCGCCCGCCAAUAUUCUGGCGGGCAUGCGUGUUCGAGCGUCAUUUCAACCCUCAAGCCCCCGGGUUUGGUGUUGGGGAUCGGCGAGCCCUCGCGGCAAGCCGGCCCCGAAAUCUAGUGGCGGUCUCGCUGCAUCUUCCAUUGCGUAAUAAUAAAACCCUCGCAACUGGUACGCGGCGCGGCCAAGCCGUUAAACCCCCAACUUCUGAAUGUUGACCUCGGAUCGGUAGGAAUACCCGCUGAACUUAAGCAUAUCAAUAAGCGGAAG